CUUUAAAGAACAAAGUGUACCCUCAAACACUUAAAGGACCACUAUAGUGCCAGGAAAACAUACUCGUUUUCCUGGCACUAUAAUGCCCUGAGGGUGCCCCCACCCUCAGGGUCCCCCUCCCACCCGGCUCUGGAAGGGGGAAAGGGGUAAAAACGUACCUUUUUCCAGCGCUGGGCGGGGAGCUCUCCUCCUCCGAUCCUCC
Pelobates cultripes (western spadefoot toad) is the source of this 202-nucleotide non-coding RNA. The record is from the annotation of a GenBank genome assembly. NCBI's taxonomy places the organism in Eukaryota, Metazoa, Chordata, Amphibia, Anura, Pelobatidae.